GAUGAACGCUGGCGGCGUGCCUAAUACAUGCAAGUCGAGCGAACAAACGAGGAGCUUGCUCCUCUGACGUUAGCGGCGGACGGGUGAGUAACACGUGGAUAACCUACCUAUAAGACUGGGAUAACUUCGGGAAACCGGAGCUAAUACCGGAUAAUAUAUUGAACCGCAUGGUUCAAUAGUGAAAGACGGUUUUGCUGUCACUUAUAGAUGGAUCCGCGCCGCAUUAGCUAGUUGGUAAGGUAACGGCUUACCAAGGCAACGAUGCGUAGCCGACCUGAGAGGGUGCUAGGCCACACUGGAACUGAGACACGGUCCAGACUCCUACGGUAGGCAGCAGUAGGGAAUCUCCCGCAAUGGGCGAAAGCCUGACGGAGCAACGCAGCGUGAGUGAUGAAGGUCUUCGGAUCGUAAAACUCUGUUAUUAGGGAAGAACAAAUGUGUAAGUAAAUAUGCACGUCUUGACGGUACCUAAUCAGAAAGCCACGGCUAACUUCGUG
Molecule: ribosomal RNA, 497 nt
Filed under: uncultured bacterium
Lineage: Bacteria
Description: partial 16S ribosomal RNA
Rfam family: Bacterial small subunit ribosomal RNA
Source: RNAcentral